UCGUUUCGCAUUUCCCCGCUCUUGUGUGUUAUCUAGGACUCAAUUCCAUCUUUGUCGCUUAGUCUCUCUAUCAUCGGCUCCGAGCUCUCCUCUCUCUCUGUAACUGAGAAAAAGAUGGACGCUUUACUCUUCCGAGUUAAGCUUGAAGUGAUUGAAGACAACAAUGUCUAGUCGUUGGAACCAAUCGGAGAAGAGGAACAACAAGUCGUCCGAAACUGUUUCAAUUGCUGAGUACAAGACUUUGACAGACAAGAAUGAGCGUCUGGUGUUAGAGAACGAGAGUCUAACCCAAACGAUUGAGCUUCUAGAGAAAACGCAUGGUUUCACUGUUGAUGAUAUUGUGGAAAAGCAAGGACGAGAAUUGCAGAGGAAGGAAGAGAUUGCACAACAAGUUUGGUGAAAUGCAGAAGAUGCUACAGACCGUCGAAAAGGAUAUCAAAUUCAUAAUGUCUGUUGAUGAUGAUGAUAUCACUGAGAUGAAGGGUGGUGGUGAGGCUUCAGGUAGUGCAAGACCUGUAAAAAAACCUAAGCUGGACGCAAAAGAAGAUGUGAUAAUGCUUAGUGACGAUGAAGAGGGAAAUCAAAGCAAUGGAAGGCACAGUAACUCAUCAGAUCAGGACCCCUUCAUAUCUAUGUGAUCAAGAUGUGGAAUCAAUUUAAGAGCUCGGAAGUGUUGAAACUAAAAACUUGAAAUCUUUUUUUUUUUUUUAAGUUGGUUCCUGUUGCUUUUAUUUCUACAUAUAUGACUAUGAAUAGCCUCUCCCCUGCAUGUUCUUGUUAUUGGCUCCGAGUUUGGAGAUUAAGACAUUAAUUUUUUUGUGUAUGGUAAGUGAAUUUAGCCUGACAUAAGGUAGUAAC
Molecule: non-coding RNA, 858 nt
Organism: Camelina sativa (false flax)
Lineage: Eukaryota; Viridiplantae; Streptophyta; Magnoliopsida; Brassicales; Brassicaceae
Source: RefSeq, a predicted model, not a curated record